GGGGAUAUAGCUCAGUUGGUAGAGUGUUUGCCUCACAUGCACAAGGCCCUGGGUUCAAACACCAGCACCACA
This 72-nucleotide transfer RNA is filed under the name Marmota monax (woodchuck). RNAcentral's name for it is "tRNA.Val". It matches the Rfam family "tRNA". From Rfam's summary of the family: Transfer RNA (tRNA) molecules are approximately 80 nucleotides in length. Their secondary structure includes four short double-helical elements and three loops (D, anti-codon, and T loops). Further hydrogen bonds mediate the characteristic L-shaped molecular structure. tRNAs have two regions of fundamental functional importance: the anti-codon, which is responsible for specific mRNA codon recognition, and the 3' end, to which the tRNAs corresponding amino acid is attached (by aminoacyl-tRNA synthetases). tRNAs cope with the degeneracy of the genetic code in two manners: having more than one tRNA (with a specific anti-codon) for a particular amino acid; and 'wobble' base-pairing, i.e. permitting non-standard base-pairing at the 3rd anti-codon position. Lineage: Eukaryota; Metazoa; Chordata; Mammalia; Rodentia; Sciuridae. The record is from RNAcentral.